Molecule: small nucleolar RNA, 130 nt
Filed under: Erinaceus europaeus (western European hedgehog)
Lineage: Eukaryota; Metazoa; Chordata; Mammalia; Eulipotyphla; Erinaceidae
Description: Small nucleolar RNA SNORA72 (ENSEEUG00000022586.1)
Rfam family: Small nucleolar RNA SNORA72
About the family: U72 is a member of the H/ACA class of snoRNAs. The snoRNA gene is located in intron 4 of the ribosomal L30 protein gene in human, mouse and chicken.
Source: RNAcentral
UUGCAAAUAUCCUCACUGUUCAGAUUCCCAUAAUAAUAAGGGCAGGCUAAACAUAUGCUAUAUUAAGAUCAUGCAUGUGUUCCCAGACCUAAUUUUUUUAAAUAAUAUUUUAUUUAUUUUGAAUAAAGAC